RNAcentral lists this unclassified non-coding RNA (540 nucleotides) under Hevea brasiliensis (rubber tree). Lineage: Eukaryota; Viridiplantae; Streptophyta; Magnoliopsida; Malpighiales; Euphorbiaceae. The record is from RNAcentral.
GUGAAGAUGAAUCUAACUGCUGUGUAAGAUGGAUUACGCCAGUAUGACAAAUGUUGCUUCCAGAGACAUGCCAUACAUUGAGUCCAGAAAGGCUGUGAAAAUUGAGUUUCAAAAUGCAGAUCCUUCGUACCAGGACGAGGCAUACUUAAUUCAGAAAUUAAGGCUUUGUUCCUCUUGUAGAGGUCUGAUUUCUUGUACAAAUCAGUAAAGUCAACUCCUAACAUCAUUUCUUGAGAUGCGGCUGUGACUUCUAACAUCCAAGUUGCUGGAUUGUAAGCCUCUUUAAUCUUACUAACUCCAGGCAAUGACUCAAAGUAUUUGAUCAAAUGACAAGAAUGGCGACCCAGAGGACCAACAUAUAUCUCCUGGCCUCCUCGUUUCAUUAAAAAUAGCUCAUCAAAGGCUUCAAAUAUGUCAAUGCUAGGCUGAUGAAUGGUACAGACUACGGUUCUUCCUGUAUCGACAGUGUUCCUAACAGCUCUCAUUACAAUGGCAGCAGCUCUUGCAUCCAACCCUGAAGUUGGUUCAUCCAUGAAAAUG